This 437-nucleotide ribosomal RNA is filed under the name uncultured Clostridium sp. RNAcentral describes it as "partial 16S ribosomal RNA". It matches the Rfam family "Bacterial small subunit ribosomal RNA", at positions 341 to 792 of the family's 1533-position model. Lineage: Bacteria; Bacillati; Bacillota; Clostridia; Eubacteriales; Clostridiaceae. The record is from RNAcentral.
ACGGGAGGCAGCAGUGGGGAAUAUUGGGCAAUGGGGGAAACCCUGACCCAGCAACGCCGCGUGAAGGAAGAAGGCCUUCGGGUUGUAAACUUCUUUUACCAGGGACGAAGGACGUGACGGUACCUGGAGAAAAAGCAACGGCUAACUACGUGCCAGCAGCCGCGGUAAUACGUAGGUUGCAAGCGUUGUCCGGAAUUACUGGGUGUAAAGGGCGUGUAGGCGGAGAUGCAAGUUGGGAGUGAAAUCCAUGGGCUCAACCCAUGAACUGCUUUCGAAACUGCAUCCCUUGAGUAUCGGAGAGGCAAGCGGAAUUCCUAGUGUAGCGGUGAAAUGCGUAGAUAUUAGGAGGAACACCAGUGGCGAAGGCGGCUUGCUGGACGACAACUGACGCUGAGGCGCGAAAGCGUGGGGAGCAAACAGGAUUAGAUACCCUGGUA